Molecule: long non-coding RNA, 1194 nt
Organism: Culex pipiens pallens (northern house mosquito)
Lineage: Eukaryota; Metazoa; Arthropoda; Insecta; Diptera; Culicidae
Exons: 3
Source: RefSeq, a predicted model, not a curated record
GAUUACAGAUUGUCAAGUCAAACAGAUUGGCCGAUCCAAAUUAAAUCGGCCUGGCAACCUAUGCCUUGCCUCACCACAAAUAUCAAAUUUUCGGCAACACUGCAAAGUGCUCAAAUUUUGCGUGACUUAAACGUUAUUGGAAAAAAAGUAAACAAAAAGGCUUGGAGAAAAAAACGGCAGGAAGUUUUUCAGUAAGUUUUGCAAAAGUGAUUCGCAAAACGUUGUUGCGAGGGUGGGAUUCUUUCAGUUUACGAAGGAAAAUUGAAACUGUGCAGCGAUAACCGAGAAGUUGCAGCCUCCAUUUUGUUCAAGACGACUUGUAUAUCGACACCGGUGGCAAUGUAAAACACCGCAAAAAUGCAUUUCCAAUCUACAAGUUGGCACAGCCAGCAGCUGAAUGGGCUCAGGAUACUUUUGGAGAUUGCAUGGAUUCGUCCUCUUCGACUGCACCUCGACGUUGGAUUUAUUUGGAGGGAAUUCAUCCGGCCGGUUAAUGCUGAGAGCGAGGUGUCCUCGAGUACCCGGCAUGAACCAGCCAAACUGGCUACAACGCAACGACCCAAGACAUAACGACCGGGUUACGAACCAUUCUCGUCUGUCAGUCCGAAAUCGAUCGGAUGGAUUCGAGGGAAAAGUGCAAACCUUUUGCGGUACGUCAUUUUCAGCAGAUGGGAGUAAAACGUUCGCUACUGCCAGUGAUUGCCAAUACCGAGGAGGUUUACUACCGGAGACAACUGCAACACACCGGGAACCGUAUUCUCCGUUACCCCUGUUGUCGAGGUCCUCCAAAACCCAAGAUCCACCGGCUAAUCCAUUUGCCGUACGCCAUUAUCAUCCACUGGAGCUGAACCACUCUGCCACGCCGGAGGAUGUGCUCGACAUCUCAUCUCAUUUGGUUACCCCUCGAUGGAACUAUGACUGGAGAAUUUCAGUCCGACCGUAUCGGGCGAUGUUGUGAACGAAGUGACCUCCGGGAACUGAGUCACCAGUGCGACCAGAUUACGCAUCAGUCUCGCCGAGCCAGGAACCGCCCACUCCGACGCUACUAUCGUUGAUAACCAUCGGAACUUGAUUGAAACCCUAGAACCGAUAAUUUUAUGGAAGUUAAUAAAAACUGUAAUCUGCUGUUCAAUCAAACCUUGAAAAAUGUUGAUCACUUAAAUUGAAUCAUUAAAAAUACAACAGAAAUGAGAA